Long non-coding RNA from Carya illinoinensis, 2054 nucleotides. RefSeq lists it as uncharacterized. NCBI's taxonomy places the organism in Eukaryota, Viridiplantae, Streptophyta, Magnoliopsida, Fagales, Juglandaceae. The transcript is spliced from 2 exons. The record is from RefSeq and is a predicted model, not a curated record.
CAUAAUAAAAACCUUUCCAGUAUUGGUUUAAACCCGUUACCCGAUUCACUUUCUGUUAUGCUCUCUCUCACUUUCUCUCAUCUAGUCUAUAUCUUGCUCUGCUCUCUACUCUUUCUCUGUCUCUCUCACGUGAGUCAUCUUCUUCUCCCUCUCCCCCCGAUUAACUUUCUCUAUUAUGCUCUCUCUCUCUCUCUCUCUGUCUCAUCUAGUCUAUCUCUCAACUUGCUCUCUGCUCUUUCUCUAUCUCUCUCGUGUGCGUGCCCCAACAGUGAAGCCCUAUCUCUCUCGUCUCUCUUAAUGCUCUCAUGGCUGGCAUUUCGUUAAGCCUCUCUUUUUUUUUUUUGAGAAAAAUUUUGUUAAGCCUCUCUCUCUCUCUCAAUGUCGAUUUGGGUAUUAGAAUAUAUCUUAUAUUGAGUUUGGGUUUUUCUUGCGAACUCCAUUGGGGAGAUGGCAAAUUGGAAUAUGUUUGGUGGUUUGGUGUUGAAGACGAAGGAAGUAUGUAUCAUGUUGAGUACACAUUAUUUGAACUUGGGAUUCAUAUUUUUUGAAGUAGGCUUCCUGUUCUUGUAAAAAAUUAGAAAAAAUAUAAUUUGGGUUUCAUUUAUAUAUUGGUUAUUUGGUUUUAUAUAAAAAAUUAGAAAAAAAAAUAUAGUUAUGGUUUUAUAUAUUUGUUAUCUGUCAUAUGAGUUGAGAUAAUGUGUUUUUUUAUUACUUUUUUGAUUCUAUCCCUCCACGAGGAGCCAUUAAUGAGUUGAUAGCUAGAUGCAUGCUAGCUUAUUUCUAUUCUUCCCUUUGCAUUUCCUUGUUUAAUAUAAUAGAUGUGACUUCAAUUUUUGAAGAAUUUAAAUCCACCUAGUCCUUGUAUUGCAUAACUUGAAAGAAAUCCAUUGGUUCUUUCAAACUUGAAAUUUGUAAGCCAUUGGUUUGCCUUUACAAGCAGUGUCAUUGGUUCUUUCAAACUUGAAAUUUGUCAUUUCGUCUUUGUCUCAUGUAGUACCUUUGGAUGGAGAGAAAUGGUCCGUGCUUCAAAGAUCAAGUACUCCUUAUUGGCUAUGCAAACGGAUUUGAGUGUGUAAUUACUAAGUAUUGUUGCAACUAUGACGAGGAAGAGAAUAAUAUGGAUUGGCAUUGUAUGUUUAACAUAAAUGGUUAUAAUGUAGAUCAUUUGUUGCUUCAGUCCUUACUUGCUCUGGAGUUAUGGACCCUCAUCUUAUAUUUGGCUGGCUUAUGCCUAAAUAAAUGUUUGCUUGUGUUCAUAUUUGGCUGGCUUAUGCCUAAUUAAGUGUUUAUCUCACGUAGACUAUAUGAGGGAAUGGAAUAGGCAAAUUUUUAAGGGCAAGAGUUUCCAUCAAUAGAAUACUUUCAUAUGCAGCCUGUAUACCUUAUUUAUGAUUAUUUAUAAGAUGAUAUUUACUAAUUAAGAAGUAAGAUAAUUUGCUAGUUCUAUUGACCAUCAUCUUCACCCAGCUGUAUAACCUAUAAAAAAAUCUUUACCCUACUUCAUGUGGGACACAUUGGUUUAGUGAUUGUUUUGAGGUUUCUUUUAGUUGUUACCAUAGUGGAUCUCUAACACUCAAAAUAAUCACACGCCCACCAUAUUUACCAUGAUAGAAUUCCUGUUGGAGCUCUGUGGCUUAUCAUUUUGGACAAUUGUUUUUUACAGCAUUCUUAUAUUCUUCUAGUCCAUAUAUUGCUAGCUGCAUUGUGGAAUUUGUGGGUUGUUGUAGGGGUUACAAACAAUAUUUAUUUAACUGAUUUUUAUAUGUUUUGCUUUAUAUAUAUUAAUGUGCAAGGGGAUGCCGUGGCAUGUAAUAGAAGCUCGACGUGCAGUGGGAGCAGUGAAGGAGAUCUGGCAUCAAGUAGUCCAGAAGUUUUUCCUAAACUAAUAAUCAUCAGUCAUGACAAUGACUUGUAAUUUUAUAUUUUGUAAUGUAAUUGUUUUAUAAUAUAAUGUAUAAAAUAUCAAAUAAUGUAAUAUAUAUAUAUGUACAGUGAAUUGUAUUAUGUGUUGCAUGUAUUUUAUAUGAUAAAUAUUGAAUUUCUUUUUUUUUUUA